ACUACUCGGUGUCAUCGAUACCAUUUUGUUACGAGUUUCGAACGUCGCUCUUGAAAUCCUUACGUCGAAUAUUAAAUUCCUUCGCGGGCUACGACACAUUCCCUCGAAACGUGUCAACGAAAGCGGAGUUUCCUUAUCGAGCAUGGUUAAAGGAAUCGCGAACGAAUCCGAUUAACGACGAGAACGUAGCAGCGAUUCUUUUUAAUAAAACACGAACGCUAGUACGUGAGUACAAACUCGGAAAACUAUUUUCUUUGCGAAAGGUUUCGAACAAAGAGCCGCCGUUUCGCUCGUGACCAACGUUAAUAAAAUGCUAAUACCACGAUGUGAUAUUAAGCCGAUAUCGAAUAAGUAUUAAACAUGCAGCCACCGCCGCUUGACGAAAUUGAAAUUCUUCGCGCAAAUAUCCCAGCCUUUUGUGAAAAUUAUACGACUGUUGGGAAAGAAGGGCAUCGCAUCGAUACUUGCCAUCGGAACUCUUUUAUCUUCGAUCCAACGGUAACGAAACGCUUUAUAUUUUGCCAAUAUGAGAAAAAAGAAAGAAGAAACUUCUAGUUAUUAUUUAAGCUGAAUCGCUUCCGAGUCGGUUACCGAAAUUAGUUAUCGCUGUCCAUACUUGUAAGAAAUACGAUUGCCAACAAGUACCAGCUUCGAUUGAUCUUUCUUAAUCGAAAUCGGACAGAUCUUUUGCGUAGUCGGUAUCGGUAUCAUUUUUCAAAAGCUACCUACUAUUCCUUGGCAAACGAUACUAAAAUAAGAACUACCGUUACGUUUCAGUCGUUCGCUGAUCAAAUCAGCAUUUAAUCUGUUUAAAUCAAACCUAGUAACUUGAUAAAAAUAAGGGACAAAAAUGAACUAUCAAUGACCUCGUGCAUUAUAAUCUUGUUAACCUCGUCGGUACGAGAGUCGACUGCCGCCGAAUAUAUCCUCCUGAAUAUAUGCUCACGGUCGAGCGUCGACUAAAAUCGGCAAUCGUAAAACCCUACAUACACACUGUCGUCUUUAAUCGACUGUUUAUGUCCUUCUGCUUCGCCUUUCUGCAAACUUCGUCAUAACUGUCUUUCGACUAAUGUGCAAUUUCCCAAUUUAAAUAGUUAUUGGAUUUCGCUUAAUUUAGAUAAAUGUCACGAUUGGUGUCAAACGACACUGCGCGGCAGACGAGCGUCGUACCGAAGAAGUUGAUGGCCGUCGUAUCGUAUCGCGAUCUCUCUAAAUGUAUAAUUCUGACGAAGAAACCAUAUCACUUUCAAUAAAUUGCUGCGACAAAUAUUGAUACAACUACGUGUAACGAUUCUAAAAGAGGAAAAAGUAAAAAGAAAGCCGUAUUUAUCAUCCAUGUUUUUAUUAGCAUAUGUAAAAUAAACAUAUAUCGAAUUGCUACAUCGUACUACUAUAUUAUUAUGCUAUUCUUUUUCGUAUUCUCAGUUCAAUCCAAAAGUAUCCGUCGUCCUCCUACGAUCAUUAACCUGCACAAAAUAUAAAAAAUACAUAUACUUCUACUGUUUCUUUUAUACAAGUACAAUAAUUAAGUCAAAUACGCUAUGUUCAGAAGUAGCAAAUUCAAAAUCAUGGCUCUCAUAGAUCUUGGUGAUCGAAUCAUCACGACGGCAUAGACAUGUAAGGCGAAAAUCAUUUAAUUUUGGACAUCGAUAAGUAAAUUCCUUACCUCUCUUGCGGAGCGUUAACUUUUAAGCAUCGUCCUUAGAUCCCAAUCGUCUAUACAAAAAAAAAAA
Molecule: long non-coding RNA, 1733 nt
Organism: Bombus impatiens (common eastern bumble bee)
Lineage: Eukaryota; Metazoa; Arthropoda; Insecta; Hymenoptera; Apidae
Exons: 2
Source: RefSeq, a predicted model, not a curated record